AGAAGUUUGAUCAUGGCUCAGGACGAACGCUGGCGGCGUGGAUUAGGCAUGCAAGUCGAACGGUAUAAACCUUUCGGGGUUUAGAGGAGUGGCGAACGGGUGAGUAACACGUAGGUAAUCUACCCUCAAAACGGGGACAACCCAGGGAAACUUGGGCUAAUACCGGAUGCGUGCAAGCAAUGUUUUGGCUGUUAAUGCUAUUCACGGAAGUGAGUAGUGUUAAUGGUUGAGAGCAUUAUUUGCAUAAAAGGUGGCAUAUGCUGCCGUUUGAGGAUGAGCCUGCGUCCUAUUAGUUAGUUGGUGAGGUAAUGGCUUACCAAGGCGAUGAUAGGUAGGCGGCCUUAACGGGUGGUCGCCCACACUGGGACUGAGAGACGGCCCAGACUCCUACGGGAGGCAGCAGUCGAGAAUAGUCUACAAUGGACGGAAGUCUGAUAGUGCGACGCCGCGUGAACGAAGAAUCCCUUCGGGGUGUAAAGUUCUUUUAUACGUGAGCAGUGCCCUUUAUAUGAAUAGUAUAGAGGGAGGGAUUUAAGCGUAUGAAUAAGCAACGGCUAACUCCGUGCCAGCAGCCGCGGUAACACGGGGGUUGCAAGCGUUGUCCGGAAUUACUAGGCGUAAAGUGCAGGUAGGCGGAUAGAUAAGUUUAAGGUUAAAGGCUACGGCUUACCCGUAGUAAGGCGUUAGAUACUGUUUAUCUGGAAUGCGGUUGAGGGAGACAGAAUUCCUGGUGUAGCGGUGGAAUGCGCAGAGAUCAGGAGGAAUACCGAAGGCGAAGGCAGUCUUCUAAGCCGAUAUUGACGCUAAACUGCGAAGGUGUGGGGAUCAAACAGGAUUAGAUACCCUGGUAGUCCACACAGUAAACGAUAAUCACUAGGUGUUGGGUUCGUAUAGGACUCGGUGCCGGAGCUAACGCGAUAAGUGAUUCGCCUGGGGAGUACGAUCGCAAGGUUGAAACUCAAAUGAAUUGACGG
Molecule: ribosomal RNA, 974 nt
Filed under: bacterium enrichment culture clone HB_5
Lineage: Bacteria
Description: bacterial SSU rRNA
Rfam family: Bacterial small subunit ribosomal RNA
Source: RNAcentral